GGGUCUAUAGUUAAGUGGUAUAAUAUUCGGCUCCAGACCGAAAGUUGGGGGUUCGAUUCCUCCUAGGCCCA
Molecule: transfer RNA, 71 nt
Filed under: Candidatus Pacearchaeota archaeon
Lineage: Archaea; Nanobdellati
Description: tRNA-Trp
Rfam family: tRNA
About the family: Transfer RNA (tRNA) molecules are approximately 80 nucleotides in length. Their secondary structure includes four short double-helical elements and three loops (D, anti-codon, and T loops).
Source: RNAcentral